GGCUCGGUGGUGUAGUUGGUCAUCACGUCAGUCUAACACUGCAGUUGGCACACUGAAGGUCCCGAGUUCAAGCCUCGGCUGAGUCA
Pyrenochaeta sp. MPI-SDFR-AT-0127 is the source of this 86-nucleotide non-coding RNA. The record is from the annotation of a GenBank genome assembly. NCBI's taxonomy places the organism in Eukaryota, Fungi, Ascomycota, Dothideomycetes, Pleosporales, Cucurbitariaceae.